CCCUUAGAUGUUCUGGGCCGCACGCGUGCUACACUGAGUGGAUCAGCGGGUCAGGUUGCGCGAAAGUGUUUCCUAAUCUUGAAAUCCGCUCGUGAUGGGGAUUGACGGUUGCAAUUUUCCGUCAUGAAUGAGGAAUACCUUGUAAGCGCGGGUCAUCAUCCCGCGCUGAAUACGUCCCUGCCCUUUGUACACACCGCCCGUCGCUCCUACCGAUUGAGUGGUCCGGUGAGGCUUUGGGAUCUGAGCAAAGAGAGCGUUUCGCUCGUUUUGCCCGGAAAACUCAGUCGAACCUUAUCAUUUAGAGGAAGGAGAAGUCGUAACA
Molecule: ribosomal RNA, 322 nt
Filed under: uncultured eukaryote
Lineage: Eukaryota
Description: partial 18S ribosomal RNA
Rfam family: Eukaryotic small subunit ribosomal RNA
Source: RNAcentral